AUCCGUCUGAUGCGUUCCAAAUAGAAUGAAAUGCGCAUCCUGGAU
Molecule: non-coding RNA, 45 nt
Organism: Schistosoma curassoni
Lineage: Eukaryota; Metazoa; Platyhelminthes; Trematoda; Strigeidida; Schistosomatidae
Source: Rfam